This 126-nucleotide small RNA is filed under the name Arabidopsis thaliana (thale cress). RNAcentral describes it as "ATSL206030". The record is from RNAcentral. Lineage: Eukaryota; Viridiplantae; Streptophyta; Magnoliopsida; Brassicales; Brassicaceae.
AUGGGUUAGAGUAUUUAGGAGAAGGAAGCUGAAAAUCAUAUUGUGGUCUAGUGAAUGUUUGGGAAGCAUAGAAUUGUUAAGAUAUGCUCUAAAAAAUAGAUGGCAACAAAAACAGAAAAAGAAAAA